Molecule: long non-coding RNA, 520 nt
Organism: Ornithodoros turicata
Lineage: Eukaryota; Metazoa; Arthropoda; Arachnida; Ixodida; Argasidae
Exons: 2
Source: RefSeq, a predicted model, not a curated record
CCCCAGAGAAAGACAGCACUGCACACGUUGCAAAACACGUUGCUUUUCAACUCGACGUCACUUUGCCGGGGAGGUUGGCAGGAUUCUGUGAGACAGAUUCACGCAAUCUCCGCACGGAUGGAAGCUUUUGAACCGCUGCCAAGAAGUGUGUGCACUAUUUGGAGUGCACAAUGUGAGAAAGCGUUAACGACUUCCAAAGUUUUGGGACUAUUUAUAGUCUCUUGGUUGUCUCCCGUCAAGGCAUGCUGAGUCACGUAACUGCUGCGUUGUAACCUUGCUGCUGUUAUCAGCAGAAGCAUCAAGAAGGGCCAUGUCCUCCUCGCCCCUCUAGCAUCUCUUCUUGGGGCGGCUUCUAAGCGAGAGGUUUGGCAACGUUUUUCCAGCUGUUGCCAUUGUAAUAUAGAAUUUACUUUAUCGUGGAAUGGGAUAAAUCUGAUUUAAAAAAAAAAUUAUUGCACUGGGCAAAUUUUGGACUUCAAUUCGAGAAAUUAUAUUUUUGAAUUAAAAUUUGAUAAAACUA